GAUGAACGCUGGCGGCGUGCCUAAUACAUGCAAGUCGAGCGAACAGACGAGGAGCUUGCUCCUCUGGCGUUAGCGGCGGACGGGUGAGUAACACGUGGAUAACCUACCUAUAAGACUGGGAUAACUUCGGGAAACCGGAGCUAAUACCGGAUAAUAUAUUGAACCGCAUGGUUCAAUAGUGAAAGACGGUUUUGCUGUCACUUAUAGAUGGAUCCGCGCCGCAUUAGCUAGUUGGUAAGGUAACGGCUUACCAAGGCGACGAUGCGUAGCCGACCUGAGAGGGUGAUCGGCCACACUGGAACUGAGACACGGUCCAGACUCCUACGGGAGGCAGCAGUAGGGAAUCUUCCGCAAAGGGCGAAAGCCUGACGGAGCAACGCCGCGUGAGUGAUGAAGGUCUUCGGAUCGUAAAACUCUGUUAUUAGGGAAGAACAAAUGUGUAAGUAACUAUGCACGUCUUGACGGUACCUAAUCAGAAAGCCACGGCUAACUACGUG
Molecule: ribosomal RNA, 497 nt
Filed under: uncultured bacterium
Lineage: Bacteria
Description: partial 16S ribosomal RNA
Rfam family: Bacterial small subunit ribosomal RNA
Source: RNAcentral